RNA transcript from Medicago truncatula (barrel medic), 600 nucleotides. RefSeq lists it as uncharacterized. The transcript is spliced from 2 exons. Lineage: Eukaryota; Viridiplantae; Streptophyta; Magnoliopsida; Fabales; Fabaceae. The record is from RefSeq and is a predicted model, not a curated record.
UUUUGAGAAAACAAUAUUACAUGACCUUAAUACACUAUAAAUUGACUAAAUCAUAUUCUAUUUGGUACAACAUAGAAAAAUAUGGCUAGAACUCUCAAGUUUGUUUAUGCUGUGAUUUUAUUUCUUUCCUUGUUUCUUGUUGCCAAGGGGGAUGAUGUAAAAAUUAAAUGUGUAGUUGCGGCCAAUUGUCCAGACCUUAUGUAUCCUUUAGUUUAUAAGUGCCUUAACGGUAUAUGUGUACAGUUUACGUUGACGUUUCCUUUUGUUUGAUAUAAGUAUCGCGCCGAAGAGGAGUGAGUUCUUGCACUAGCAAAAAAUCUAUGCAACAUACCUUAUAGUUAUACCGCAAGUUGCCAUUUAAUCUUUUUAGUAGCAUCCAAUAAUUGUAUCUUUUAUUUUUUUUCUUUUUACAACUUCAUGGAUGUUGAAACUAUGACUCUACACUCAAAGAUGUUGAUAAUAAAAUGAAAUUAGGCACUAAAUAAUAUUAUAACUGAAUUGUGUCUUAUAUCUUAUUUUUGAAUGUAUCACCAUUGUGAGAUUUGAUAGACUUUGAUGUUUUCAAAUGCACCGAGAAUUGGGAUCUCAGCUUCUCUGCCA